Molecule: ribosomal RNA, 612 nt
Filed under: uncultured bacterium
Lineage: Bacteria
Description: bacterial SSU rRNA
Rfam family: Bacterial small subunit ribosomal RNA
Source: RNAcentral
AUUGAACGCUGGCGGCAUGCCUAACACAUGCAAGUCGAACGGUAACAGGCCGCUGGGAUCCCUUCGGGGUGACCUUGGCGCUGACGAGUGGCGGACGGGUGAGUAAUGCUUAGGAAUCUACCCAGUAGCGGAGGACAACCCGAGGAAACUCGGGCUAAUACCGCAUACGCCCUACGGGGGAAAGCGGGGGACUCUUCGGAGCCUCGCACUAUUGGAUGAGCCUAAGUCGGAUUAGCUUGAUGGUGAGGUAAUGGCUCACCAUGGUGACGAUCCGUAGCUGGUCUGAGAGGACGAUCAGCCACACUGGGACUGAGACACGGCCCAGACUCCUACGGGAGGCAGCAGUGGGGAAUAUUGGACAAUGGGGGCAACCCUGAUCCAGCAAUGCCGCGUGUGUGAAGAAGGCCUGCGGGUUGUAAAGCACUUUCAGUAGAGAAGAAAAGCUUGAGGUUAAUACCCUCAGGUCUUGACGUAACCUAAAGAAGAAGCACCGGCUAACUCCGUGCCAGCAGCCGCGGUAAUACGGAGGGUGCGAGCGUUAAUCGGAAUUACUGGGCGUAAAGCGCGCGUAGGCGGUUGGGUCAGUCGGAUGUGAAAGCCCCGGGCUUAACC